AACACUCAUUUUCAUUUUUUGAAAUCUGAAUUGAAUACAUAGGUCGCCUCCCUUUAUAUAGAUAAGAGAGAGAAUAUAAGACAAAUUCAAUAAAUAGAAGGAAAUAACAGAAUUUGACUAUCAUGGAAAUGAUGGUGGCUAUAUCUUGCCACUAUGAAAAUGAUGGUGCCUACAUCUUGUUACAAAAGAAAUGAUAGUGGCCGUAUCUUGCUACUAUGAAAAUGAUGUUGGCC
RNAcentral lists this long non-coding RNA (233 nucleotides) under Elaeis guineensis (African oil palm). Its description in RNAcentral is "long non-coding RNA (EGUI_LNC004549)". The record is from RNAcentral. Lineage: Eukaryota; Viridiplantae; Streptophyta; Magnoliopsida; Arecales; Arecaceae.